AACGAACGCUGGCGGCAUGCCUAACACAUGCAAGUCGAACGAAGCCUUCGGGCUUAGUGGCGCACGGGUGCGUAACGCGUGGGAAUCUGCCCUUUGGUUCGGAAUAACAGUUGGAAACGACUGCUAAUGCCGGAUGAUGACGAAAGUCCAAAGAUUUAUCGCCAGAGGAUGAGCCCGCGUAGGAUUAGCUAGUAGGUGUGGUAAAGGCGCACCAAGGCGACGAUCCUUAGCUGGUCUGAGAGGAUGAUCAGCCACACUGGGACUGAGACACGGCCCAGACUCCUACGGGAGGCAGCAGUGGGGAAUAUUGGACAAUGGGCGAAAGCCUGAUCCAGCAAUGCCGCGUGAGUGAUGAAGGCCCUAGGGUUGUAAAGCUCUUUUACCCGGGAUGAUAAUGACAGUACCGGGAGAAUAAGCCCCGGCUAACUCCGUGCCAGCCGCCGCCGUAA
Molecule: ribosomal RNA, 449 nt
Filed under: uncultured bacterium
Lineage: Bacteria
Description: partial 16S ribosomal RNA
Rfam family: Bacterial small subunit ribosomal RNA
Source: RNAcentral